This 519-nucleotide ribosomal RNA is filed under the name uncultured Photobacterium sp. RNAcentral's name for it is "bacterial SSU rRNA". It matches the Rfam family "Bacterial small subunit ribosomal RNA", at positions 75 to 591 of the family's 1533-position model. Lineage: Bacteria; Pseudomonadati; Pseudomonadota; Gammaproteobacteria; Vibrionales; Vibrionaceae. The record is from RNAcentral.
CUUGCUAAUUUGCUGACGAGCGGCGGACGGGUGAGUAAUGCCUGGGAAUAUGCCUUGAUGUGGGGGAUAACUAUUGGAAACGAUAGCUAAUACCGCAUAAUGCCUACGGGCCAAAGAGGGGGAUCUUCGGACCUCUCGCGUCAAGAUUAGCCCAGGUGGGAUUAGCUAGUUGGUGGGGUAAUGGCUCACCAAGGCGACGAUCCCUAGCUGGUUUGAGAGGAUGAUCAGCCACACUGGAACUGAGACACGGUCCAGACUCCUACGGGAGGCAGCAGUGGGGAAUAUUGCACAAUGGGGGAAACCCUGAUGCAGCCAUGCCGCGUGUAUGAAGAAGGCCUUCGGGUUGUAAAGUACUUUCAGUUGUGAGGAAGGCGGUAACGUUAAUAGCGUUACCGUUUGACGUUAGCAACAGAAGAAGCACCGGCUAACUCCGUGCCAGCAGCCGCGGUAAUACGGAGGGUGCGAGCGUUAAUCGGAAUUACUGGGCGUAAAGCGCAUGCAGGCGGUCUGUUAAGCAAG